This 561-nucleotide ribosomal RNA is filed under the name uncultured bacterium. Its description in RNAcentral is "partial 16S ribosomal RNA". It matches the Rfam family "Bacterial small subunit ribosomal RNA", at positions 355 to 939 of the family's 1533-position model. The record is from RNAcentral.
UGGGGAAUAUUGGACAAUGGGCGCAAGCCUGAUCCAGCAAUGCCGCGUGAGUGAUGAAGGCCUUAGGGUUGUAAAGCUCUUUCGCACGCGACGAUGAUGACGGUAGCGUGAGAAGAAGCCCCGGCUAACUUCGUGCCAGCAGCCGCGGUAAUACGAAGGGGGCUAGCGUUGUUCGGAAUUACUGGGCGUAAAGGGCGCGUAGGCGGCCUGUUUAGUCAGAAGUGAAAGCCCCGGGCUCAACCUGGGAAUAGCUUUUGAUACUGGCAGGCUUGAGUUCCGGAGAGGAUGGUGGAAUUCCCAGUGUAGAGGUGAAAUUCGUAGAUAUUGGGAAGAACACCGGUGGCGAAGGCGGCCAUCUGGACGGACACUGACGCUGAGGCGCGAAAGCGUGGGGAGCAAACAGGAUUAGAUACCCUGGUAGUCCACGCCCGUAAACGAAUGAUGCUAGACGUCGGGGUGCAUGCACUUCGGUGUCGCCGCUAACGCAUUAAGCAUUCCGCCUGGGGAGUACGGCCGCAAGGUUAAAACUCAAAUGAAUUGACGGGGUCAAUAGCUGUUUCC